UACAGAGGUCCCGAGCGUUGUUCGGAUUUAUUGGGCGUAAAGGGUGCGUAGGCGGCGGAGUAAGUUGGGUGUGAAAUCCCGGGGCUUAACCUCGGAACUGCAUUCAAUACUGCUUCGCUCGAGUACUGGAGAGGAGGCUGGAAUUUACGGUGUAGCAGUGAAAUGCGUAGAUAUCGUAAGGAAGGCCGGUGGCGAAAGCGAGCCUCUGGACAGUUACUGACGCUGAUGCACGAAGGCCAGGGGAGCAAACGGG
RNAcentral lists this ribosomal RNA (253 nucleotides) under uncultured bacterium. RNAcentral describes it as "partial 16S ribosomal RNA". It matches the Rfam family "Bacterial small subunit ribosomal RNA", at positions 524 to 776 of the family's 1533-position model. The record is from RNAcentral.